Molecule: transfer RNA, 68 nt
Filed under: Ochotona sp. WJ-2016f
Lineage: Eukaryota; Metazoa; Chordata; Mammalia; Lagomorpha; Ochotonidae
Description: tRNA-Asp
Source: RNAcentral
GAGAUAUUAGUAAAUUCAUUACAUAAUCUUGUCAAGAUUAAAUUACGGGAUAACACCCGUAUAUCUCU